GUCCACGCCGUAAACGAUGAAUACUAGGUGUGGGGGGACUGACCCCCUCCGUGCCGCAGUUAACACAAUAAGUAUUCCACCUGGGGAGUACGACCGCAAGGUUGAAACUCAAAGGAAUUGACGGGGGCCCGCACAAGCAGUGGAUUAUGUGGUUUAAUUCGAAGCAACGCGAAGAACCUUACCAGGGCUUGACAUCCCACUAACGAAGUAGAGAUACAUUAGGUGCCCUUCGGGGAAAGUGGAGACAGGUGGUGCAUGGUUGUCGU
This 266-nucleotide ribosomal RNA is filed under the name uncultured bacterium. RNAcentral describes it as "partial 16S ribosomal RNA". It matches the Rfam family "Bacterial small subunit ribosomal RNA", at positions 793 to 1055 of the family's 1533-position model. The record is from RNAcentral.